RNAcentral lists this ribosomal RNA (1287 nucleotides) under metagenome. RNAcentral describes it as "bacterial SSU rRNA". It matches the Rfam family "Bacterial small subunit ribosomal RNA", at positions 242 to 1520 of the family's 1533-position model. The record is from RNAcentral.
UAGCUAGUUGGUGAGGUAAAGGCUCACCAAGGCGACGAUCUGUAGCGGGUCUGAGAGGAUGAUCCGCCACACUGGAACUGAGACACGGUCCAGACUCCUACGGGAGGCAGCAGUGGGGAAUUUUGGACAAUGGGGGCAACCCUGAUCCAGCCAUGCCGCGUGAGUGAAGAAGGCCUUCGGGUUGUAAAGCUCUUUCGGCCGGGAAGAAAUCGUAUGGGUUAAUACCCUGUGCGGAUGACGGUACCGGCAUAAGAAGCACCGGCUAACUACGUGCCAGCAGCCGCGGUAAUACGUAGGGUGCGAGCGUUAAUCGGAAUUACUGGGCGUAAAGCGUGCGCAGGCGGUUUUGUAAGACAGGCGUGAAAUCCCCGGGCUCAACCUGGGAACUGCGCUUGUGACUGCAAGGCUAGAGUACGGCAGAGGGGGGUGGAAUUCCACGUGUAGCAGUGAAAUGCGUAGAGAUGUGGAGGAACACCAAUGGCGAAGGCAGCCCCCUGGGUCGAUACUGACGCUCAUGCACGAAAGCGUGGGUAGCAAACAGGAUUAGAUACCCUGGUAGUCCACGCCCUAAACGAUGUCAACUAGGUGUUGGGUGGGUAAAACCAUUUAGUACCCGAGCUAACGCGUGAAGUUGACCGCCUGGGGAGUACGGCCGCAAGGUUAAAACUCAAAGGAAUUGACGGGGACCCGCACAAGCGGUGGAUGAUGUGGAUUAAUUCGAUGCAACGCGAAAAACCUUACCUACCCUUGACAUGUCCAGAAGCCUGAAGAGAUUUGGGUGUGCCCGAAAGGGAGCUGGAACACAGGUGCUGCAUGGCUGUCGUCAGCUCGUGUCGUGAGAUGUUGGGUUAAGUCCCGCAACGAGCGCAACCCUUGUCGUUAAUUGCCAUCAUUUAGUUGGGCACUUUAACGAGACUGCCGGUGACAAACCGGAGGAAGGUGGGGAUGACGUCAAGUCCUCAUGGCCCUUAUGGGUAGGGCUUCACACGUCAUACAAUGGUCGGUACAAAGGGUUGCCAAGCCGCGAGGUGGAGCCAAUCCCAGAAAGCCGAUCGUAGUCCGGAUUGCAGGCUGCAACUCGCCUGCAUGAAGUCGGAAUCGCUAGUAAUCGUGGAUCAGCAUGUCACGGUGAAUACGUUCCCGGGUCUUGUACACACCGCCCGUCACACCAUGGGAGCGGGUUCCGCCAGAAGUAGGUAGCCUAACCGCAAGGGGGGCGCUUACCACGGCGGGGUUCGUGACUGGGGUGAAGUCGUAACAAGGUAGCCGUAGGGGAACCUGUGGCUG